UUAAGCGACUAAGCGUACACGGUGGAUGCCCUGGCAGUCAGAGGCGAUGAAGGACGUGCUAAUCUGCGAUAAGCGUCGGUAAGGUGAUAUGAACCGUUAUAACCGGCGAUUUCCGAAUGGGGAAACCCAGUGUGUUUCGACACACUAUCAUUAACUGAAUCCAUAGGUUAAUGAGGCGAACCGGGGGAACUGAAACAUCUAAGUACCCCGAGGAAAAGAAAUCAACCGAGAUUCCCCCAGUAGCGGCGAGCGAACGGGGAGCAGCCCAGAGCCUGAAUCAGUAUGUGUGUUAGUGGAAGCGUCUGGAAAGGCGCGCGAUACAGGGUGACAGCCCCGUACACAAAAAUGCACAUGCUGUGAGCUCGAUGAGUAGGGCGGGACACGUGGUAUCCUGUCUGAAUAUGGGGGGACCAUCCUCCAAGGCUAAAUACUCCUGACUGACCGAUAGUGAACCAGUACCGUGAGGGAAAGGCGAAAAGAACCCCGGCGAGGGGAGUGAAAAAGAACCUGAAACCGUGUACGUACAAGCAGUGGGAGCACGCUUAGGCGUGUGACUGCGUACCUUUUGUAUAAUGGGUCAGCGACUUAUAUUCUGUAGCAAGGUUAACCGAAUAGGGGAGCCGAAGGGAAACCGAGUCUUAACUGGGCGUUAAGUUGCAGGGUAUAGACCCGAAACCCGGUGAUCUAGCCAUGGGCAGGUUGAAGGUUGGGUAACACUAACUGGAGGACCGAACCGACUAAUGUUGAAAAAUUAGCGGAUGACUUGUGGCUGGGGGUGAAAGGCCAAUCAAACCGGGAGAUAGCUGGUUCUCCCCGAAAGCUAUUUAGGUAGCGCCUCGUGAAUUCAUCUCCGGGGGUAGAGCACUGUUUCGGCAAGGGGGUCAUCCCGACUUACCAACCCGAUGCAAACUGCGAAUACCGGAGAAUGUUAUCACGGGAGACACACGGCGGGUGCUAACGUCCGUCGUGAAGAGGGAAACAACCCAGACCGCCAGCUAAGGUCCCAAAGUCAUGGUUAAGUGGGAAACGAUGUGGGAAGGCCCAGACAGCCAGGAUGUUGGCUUAGAAGCAGCCAUCAUUUAAAGAAAGCGUAAUAGCUCACUGGUCGAGUCGGCCUGCGCGGAAGAUGUAACGGGGCUAAACCAUGCACCGAAGCUGCGGCAGCGACACUAUGUGUUGUUGGGUAGGGGAGCGUUCUGUAAGCCUGUGAAGGUGUGCUGUGAGGCAUGCUGGAGGUAUCAGAAGUGCGAAUGCUGACAUAAGUAACGAUAAAGCGGGUGAAAAGCCCGCUCGCCGGAAGACCAAGGGUUCCUGUCCAACGUUAAUCGGGGCAGGGUGAGUCGACCCCUAAGGCGAGGCCGAAAGGCGUAGUCGAUGGGAAACAGGUUAAUAUUCCUGUACUUGGUGUUACUGCGAAGGGGGGACGGAGAAGGCUAUGUUGGCCGGGCGACGGUUGUCCCGGUUUAAGCGUGUAGGCUGGUUUUCCAGGCAAAUCCGGAAAAUCAAGGCUGAGGCGUGAUGACGAGGCACUACGGUGCUGAAGCAACAAAUGCCCUGCUUCCAGGAAAAGCCUCUAAGCAUCAGGUAACAUCAAAUCGUACCCCAAACCGACACAGGUGGUCAGGUAGAGAAUACCAAGGCGCUUGAGAGAACUCGGGUGAAGGAACUAGGCAAAAUGGUGCCGUAACUUCGGGAGAAGGCACGCUGAUAUGUAGGUGAAGUCCCUCGCGGAUGGAGCUGAAAUCAGUCGAAGAUACCAGCUGGCUGCAACUGUUUAUUAAAAACACAGCACUGUGCAAACACGAAAGUGGACGUAUACGGUGUGACGCCUGCCCGGUGCCGGAAGGUUAAUUGAUGGGGUUAGCCGCAAGGCGAAGCUCUUGAUCGAAGCCCCGGUAAACGGCGGCCGUAACUAUAACGGUCCUAAGGUAGCGAAAUUCCUUGUCGGGUAAGUUCCGACCUGCACGAAUGGCGUAAUGAUGGCCAGGCUGUCUCCACCCGAGACUCAGUGAAAUUGAACUCGCUGUGAAGAUGCAGUGUACCCGCGGCAAGACGGAAAGACCCCGUGAACCUUUACUAUAGCUUGACACUGAACAUUGAGCCUUGAUGUGUAGGAUAGGUGGGAGGCUUUGAAGUGUGGACGCCAGUCUGCAUGGAGCCGACCUUGAAAUACCACCCUUUAAUGUUUGAUGUUCUAACGUUGACCCGUAAUCCGGGUUGCGGACAGUGUCUGGUGGGUAGUUUGACUGGGGCGGUCUCCUCCUAAAGAGUAACGGAGGAGCACGAAGGUUGGCUAAUCCUGGUCGGACAUCAGGAGGUUAGUGCAAUGGCAUAAGCCAGCUUGACUGCGAGCGUGACGGCGCGAGCAGGUGCGAAAGCAGGUCAUAGUGAUCCGGUGGUUCUGAAUGGAAGGGCCAUCGCUCAACGGAUAAAAGGUACUCCGGGGAUAACAGGCUGAUACCGCCCAAGAGUUCAUAUCGACGGCGGUGUUUGGCACCUCGAUGUCGGCUCAUCACAUCCUGGGGCUGAAGUAGGUCCCAAGGGUAUGGCUGUUCGCCAUUUAAAGUGGUACGCGAGCUGGGUUUAGAACGUCGUGAGACAGUUCGGUCCCUAUCUGCCGUGGGCGCUGGAGAACUGAGGGGGGCUGCUCCUAGUACGAGAGGACCGGAGUGGACGCAUCACUGGUGUUCGGGUUGUCAUGCCAAUGGCACUGCCCGGUAGCUAAAUGCGGAAGAGAUAAGUGCUGAAAGCAUCUAAGCACGAAACUUGCCCCGAGAUGAGUUCUCCCUGACUCCUUGAGAGUCCUGAAGGAACGUUGAAGACGACGACGUUGAUAGGCCGGGUGUGUAAGCGCAGCGAUGCGUUGAGCUAACCGGUACUAAUGAACCGUGAGGCUUAACCUU
RNAcentral lists this ribosomal RNA (2903 nucleotides) under Escherichia coli. RNAcentral's name for it is "23S ribosomal RNA". It matches the Rfam family "Bacterial large subunit ribosomal RNA". The record is from RNAcentral. Lineage: Bacteria; Pseudomonadati; Pseudomonadota; Gammaproteobacteria; Enterobacterales; Enterobacteriaceae.